Molecule: long non-coding RNA, 1406 nt
Organism: Nothoprocta perdicaria
Lineage: Eukaryota; Metazoa; Chordata; Aves; Tinamiformes; Tinamidae
Exons: 2
Source: RefSeq, a predicted model, not a curated record
GCCGGAGGCAGAGGCGGCUCCGCGGGGAACGCCGCGGAACGCGGAGCUGCGCAGAACCGAGCCACAGCACCACGGGCUGGCAGCGCUUCCAAAGGCAGGGGCUGGCGCGCUGUACUGCACCUGAGCGGGAAAAAAUCCCUCAGUUUUGAUGAGAAUUAGGCAAGAGCGAGGAUCACUGCACGGAUCACUACCAGAGAGGGUUUUCCCGUUUCCGGAGCAGGCUCGGCUCCAGCGGAUUCCCGGCGGCGGAGGCCAGGUGCCUGGAAGGAGCCGCAGCGUUAGCAGCCUCGCCGCCCAACUUCUCCCUCAAGGAAUCGCCCAUGCUCCCGGCUGCUCCUGGGAGCGAGGAGCGCAGCCCCUUCAUGCCGGCGCCAGCCCCGGCUGCCACCCGACCCACGGGCGAGAAGCAUGUCCGAUGACAGCCUGCUCCUGAGGCAAUGUAGGCUAGCUGCCAGAAUACUGGUGAAAAUACUUGCAGAAAAAAUGGGGACCUCUGCCAUCACAACACUGGAAGAUGUAAAAAGGCAAGAGGAGAAAGAGGAGAAAGAGGAAUCUAUUCUAGCACUGCUUGGGAUUGUUGGAACUGUGCUCAAUUUAUUUGUUAUUGUUUUUGUGUACAUCUACACUACACUUUGAUGGCAUUUUUGAACAUCGAGCGUAGAGCAUACAGUGCUGAGACCGGCGACAGCAGGAAGGAUUUCUAUAUUUAACGAAAAAAAGAAAGAAAAAUACACCGAAGAGAUUGUCAAACACAUUCCAGAGCAGAGUAGCUGGCUAAGGGCACUGCAUCAAUGACUGCUAAAUAUAUCCGAGAGCCCAGUUCGGGUGCUAAAUUAUGUAAAUGAAGGCAGGCAAUAUUCAACUUCACACUGAUGACAGAUGACGACCAAAUAGUGGGAAGGCAGAUGGCACCGUUUCAUGGCCAGCGAACACACGAGACAAGAGACGGACGCAGACAAACACCCAGAACAAUCACAACAAAAAGAAGAGACGGAUUAGAUAAAUAUAUAAAUGUAUGUAUCAGCCCGUGAUGCUUCCUAUAGUUUUGUGUAACAUGUCUCUGUAUAUCUGAGACCAUAAARCAAAGCAAAAAGAAAGGAUUUUAUUUUUAGAUUGCUACAAUAUAGGCUUCCAAUUUACACAAACCUAUAGUAAGUGUGGAAACAGAAGCACUGCUAUACCAAAAAUUGUAAUACUACAAGUAAARUUUUAACUCUUGAUUAUAUUCUGCAGCAUUUGUUAGUCUUGUAGAAAGCUGAGAAAGGUUAGAUAUUCUUGCCUUUACUGAAUCUGUAUUUGAAAUAAUAAUGCUAUACUAAUGAUGUGCUUUUCUAAUUAAAAAUCCUYUAAAAGUGGUGUGAAAAAUAAAAUAGUUUUAGUACUUUUCAGAUUUAUUCAAAAUUACA